Molecule: long non-coding RNA, 1068 nt
Organism: Engraulis encrasicolus (European anchovy)
Lineage: Eukaryota; Metazoa; Chordata; Actinopteri; Clupeiformes; Engraulidae
Exons: 5
Source: RefSeq, a predicted model, not a curated record
CAUUGAUUCACUUUCCCCAUACUUUGGUCUUGUUGUGCCUUUGGAUAUACUAAUCCGUAUUAUCUCGGAAGCUCUGCAGUUUUGAGCACUUAAGGCGUCGGUGUGACUCUCUUCGCUCAGCAUCCAAACCGUGCCACCUCCACCAACAGCCAGAAGAUCAUCUCGGCAUCACAGCUGUCGAUGGGGCAUUGCGUUAUCACUACCACAGCAACGAGGUGCCAUUCCAGUGAGAUUUCCACAAAGAAAAGUGUCAAGAUAAAAACAGAUGCACCAUGGACCCUUUCCACCUCAACACCAGUCCAACAAAGGCCGGGUAAAACUUCCAGGUUAGAGGAGGAAGAGGAUAGCAUCACAACACCAGCUGACCCCUUGAUAUCUGGCAUUUGGAGAAAGAGCACAUCACAGUCGUCUGUGUGACACCCCCUCGCUGCACGCCAGCACCCAAACCAAGCCACCUCCACCACCGGUCAGAUCAUAUCGCUGAAGAUGUGUACAGUACGCUCCUGCCUGCAUCCUGCCUGCAACCACAAGUUCACCCCAGAGGAUCUGCUGUCGACAACCAUUGUGAUAUCGUUGCAAUUAUGAAACACACUUAAUAAAUGCUAAUACAUCACAUCACACACAUUUUGUUUCUGAAUUGUUUUUCAAUAUUGGUAACACACUGUUGUUACAACAUCUGUUUAGGUCAGGUGGGGAACCAUGUCAAACCAUGUUUACGCCCCCUCGGGCCAUCUUAUCCUCUCCCCAAUAUAAUUUUAAUGUUGUACAGCUUCACGUGAAAUAUGACAUAUUUUGUAAAGGCAUCUUAGAAAUUACAUCAGCAAUAUAAUUAAGUUAUAUUCUAGGUACCAAGAGAAGGUGGGGUCUGUUGUAAAGCUGGCCACCUUCAAUAUAGGCCAAAAAAGCUGGGGGAAAUCCUGUUUUGUGUUCAUAGUACGGCCCUUGGAGGACUUACAUGGUUGUUGAAGGACUUUGAAGUGGCCCCUCAAAUGAAAAAGGUACCCUACCCCUGGCUUAGACGAAUGGCCAGACAAAUGUUAAGAAUUGAAGUAAUGCAUUUCUUAGAAG